This 997-nucleotide ribosomal RNA is filed under the name Bradyrhizobium sp. RNAcentral's name for it is "bacterial SSU rRNA". It matches the Rfam family "Bacterial small subunit ribosomal RNA", at positions 44 to 1087 of the family's 1533-position model. Lineage: Bacteria; Pseudomonadati; Pseudomonadota; Alphaproteobacteria; Hyphomicrobiales; Nitrobacteraceae. The record is from RNAcentral.
AGGCUACACAUGCAGUCGAGCGGGCGUAGCAAUACGUCAGCGGCAGACGGGUGAGUAACGCGUGGGAACGUACCUUUUGGUUCGGAACAACCCAGGGAAACUUGGGCUAAUACCGGAUAAGCCCUUACGGGGAAAGAUUUAUCGCCGAAAGAUCGGCCCGCGUCUGAUUAGCUAGUUGGUAGGGUAAUGGCCUACCAAGGCGACGAUCAGUAGCUGGUCUGAGAGGAUGAUCAGCCACAUUGGGACUGAGACACGGCCCAAACUCCUACGGGAGGCAGCAGUGGGGAAUAUUGGACAAUGGGCGCAAGCCUGAUCCAGCCAUGCCGCGUGAGUGAUGAAGGCCCUAGGGUUGUAAAGCUCUUUUGUGCGGGAAGAUAAUGACGGUACCGCAAGAAUAAGCCCCGGCUAACUUCGUGCCAGCAGCCGCGGUAAUACGAAGGGGGCUAGCGUUGCUCGGAAUCACUGGGCGUAAAGGGUGCGUAGGCGGGUCUUUAAGUCAGGGGUGAAAUCCUGGAGCUCAACUCCAGAACUGCCUUUGAUACUGAAGAUCUUGAGUCCGGGAGAGGUGAGUGGAACUGCGAGUGUAGAGGUGAAAUUCGUAGAUAUUCGCAAGAACACCAGUGGCGAAGGCGGCUCACUGGCCCGGUACUGACGCUGAGGCACGAAAGCGUGGGGAGCAAACAGGAUUAGAUACCCUGGUAGUCCACGCCGUAUACGAUGAAUGCCAGCCGUUAGUGGGUUUACUCACUAGUGGCGCAGCUCACGCUUUAUGCAUUCCGUCUGGGGAGGACGGUCGUGCGAUUAUAACUCAAAGGAAUUGACGGGGGCCCGCACAACCGCCGGAGCAUGUGGUUUAAUUCUUCGCAGCUCGCAGGACCAUUCCUGCCCUUGACUUGUCGAGUACCGACCGCACAAAAAAGACCCGCUCUUCGCAUCUUGGACCGCAGGUGCUGCAUGACUGGCCUCGCCUCAUGUCGUGGAACGUAGGGUUAGGUCC